UACAGAGGGUGCAAGCGUUGUUCGGAUUUACUGGGCGUAAAGCGUGCGUAGGUUGUAUUGAGAGUCGCGGGUGAAAUCCCAGGGCUUAACCCUGGAACUGCCUGCGAGACCUCAGUACUGGAGUAUGAAAGAGGAUAGUGGAAUUCCUGGUGUAGCGGUGAAAUGCGUAGAGAUCAGGAGGAACACCUGUGGCGAAGGCGGCUAUCUGGUUCAUUACUGACACUGAGGCACGAAAGCGUGGGUAGCAAACAGG
RNAcentral lists this ribosomal RNA (253 nucleotides) under uncultured bacterium. RNAcentral describes it as "partial 16S ribosomal RNA". It matches the Rfam family "Bacterial small subunit ribosomal RNA", at positions 524 to 776 of the family's 1533-position model. The record is from RNAcentral.